CUCAGCAGCUGUUGCUGUCAGGCCUUUGCUCUGGGCUUCCAGGCCUAGAAGAACCACACAAGGGCAGGGGCACUCUGGAAGCGACUUUGGAAGAGUUCCAGGAGAGUCUGCUCCCCAGCACUGCUGUAAAGAGCGCCCAGGCUCGUGCCACUUCCCCUGGUUUCUCUCCCAUGUGUGCCAGGCAGAGAUUCCAGGAUUAACCGGGAGACACCUGUUUGGAUUCUGUUUGAACACACACCUCAACAGCCCCUCUCUAACACGGGUGAGGACAGUCUGAGAGAAGUCAAAAUGUUGAACAUUUUACCAUGUGCAGCAGAGCCAACGCUUGAUCCCUCUCUCAGAACAAUGAAGCACCAUGCUGUGCCCUACUGAAGAGAGAAACAGAAGGGAAGGAUACAGUCCCCACCCUCAGAAGAAUUAUGGCUUUAUGGAGAGAGCAAGAGGGACAGGAAGGUGGAAGGCUGAAGAAAUGGAUCAGUUAAGAACACUUGCUGCUUGGGUCUCAGAAACACCUGCACCUACAUCUCAAGGGGAAUGGAUGCCCCGCUCUUCUGGCCUCCACGGGCAGCUGUGCACAUAUGUACAUAUACACAAA
Mesocricetus auratus (golden hamster) is the source of this 595-nucleotide long non-coding RNA. RefSeq lists it as uncharacterized. The record is from RefSeq and is a predicted model, not a curated record. Lineage: Eukaryota; Metazoa; Chordata; Mammalia; Rodentia; Cricetidae. The transcript has 3 exons.